RNAcentral lists this ribosomal RNA (200 nucleotides) under uncultured bacterium. RNAcentral's name for it is "partial 16S ribosomal RNA". It matches the Rfam family "Bacterial small subunit ribosomal RNA", at positions 28 to 223 of the family's 1533-position model. The record is from RNAcentral.
GAUGAACGCUAGCGGCAGGCUUAAUACAUGCAAGUCGAGGGGCAGCACAGGUAGCGAAUACUGGGUGGCGACCGGCAAACGGGUGCGGAACACGUACGCAACCUUCCUUCAAAUGGGGGAUAGCCCACCGAAAGGUGGAGUUAAUACCUCGUAACAUAAUGGAGUGGCAUCACUCUAUUAUCAUAGCUCCGGCGUUUGAA